AUACGUAGGUGACAAGCGUUGUCCGGAAUUACUGGGUGUAAAGGGAGCGUAGGCGGGAGUGCAAGUCAGAAGUGAAAUUCCUGAGCUCAACUCGGGCGCUGCUUCUGAAACUGCAGGACUUGAGUGCUGGAGGGGAUAGCGGAAUUCCUAGUGGAGCGGUAAAAUGCGCAGAUAUUAGGAAGAACACCGGUGGCGAAGGCGGGUCUCUGGGCAGUAACUGACGCUGAGGAGCGAAAGCAUGGGUAGCGAACAGGAUUAGAUACCCUGGUAGUCCAUGCCGUAAACGGUGGGCGCUAGGUGUAGGGGUCUUCCACGACUUCUGUGCCGUAGCUAACGCAUUAAGCGCCCCGCCUGGGGAGUACGGCCGCAAGGUUGAAACUCAAAUGAAUUGACGGGG
RNAcentral lists this ribosomal RNA (397 nucleotides) under uncultured bacterium. RNAcentral describes it as "partial 16S ribosomal RNA". It matches the Rfam family "Bacterial small subunit ribosomal RNA", at positions 523 to 918 of the family's 1533-position model. The record is from RNAcentral.